UUGAGCAGCACUGAUCAAAGCCAGCAGAAGGCUCAAACACAAACGCACGUGCGUGUUAGAGCAUAUGUCGUGCAUUCCUACGGGAGCUCUGCCAGCUCUUAAUUCCCCGCUCCUGUCUGAGAAAAGCACCUACAGACAUGGAUACAUAUCGCUGAGCAUCUCCUGCACCACAGCCGCAUUGGAAAGAAGCCGCAAAACCAGAGCACAAUGUCCUUCAGCUGCUCCACAGUCCUGGAAUCUAUUGGCACUUUCACACAGGGACACAUGAAGGGGAGGAGUGGUAACUGCAUAAAGAUACUUGUAAUCAGAUUUAGAAGCACCAGGAAGGCUGGAGAAGAGCUCGGGAGGUCAGCCACCAAAACACACACUCCCAUAUUAUCCCAGAUACCUUCUCCUAACCCUAUAAAUCCAAACACAAAUGCUCACAUUGCAAAACAAAACAAAACAAUCUUAAAGACAUUCAGGAAAGCAAAACCAUUUUUUACUUUUGCUGCUUUAUUCCUGUAAAAGGUAAGGUUUUGUCCACCACCACUCCUGCAAACAUCACCCCCAGCUUGUUGCCUGUGCCUGGGGUCAACUAUUUGCCCUCAGUGCCUUAUGUCGCAUCUCUGUUCCACUGGAGGACGUGG
Numida meleagris (helmeted guineafowl) is the source of this 629-nucleotide long non-coding RNA. RefSeq lists it as uncharacterized. The transcript is spliced from 3 exons. The record is from RefSeq and is a predicted model, not a curated record. Lineage: Eukaryota; Metazoa; Chordata; Aves; Galliformes; Numididae.